Molecule: ribosomal RNA, 234 nt
Filed under: uncultured bacterium
Lineage: Bacteria
Description: partial 16S ribosomal RNA
Rfam family: Bacterial small subunit ribosomal RNA
Source: RNAcentral
GAUCAUGGCUCAGGACGAACGCUGGCGGCGUGCCUAAUACAUGCAAGUCGAACGAGAGCGACUGGUGCUUGCACUGGUCAAUCUAGUGGCGAACGGGUGAGUAACACGUGGGUAACCUGCCCAUCAGAGGGGGAUAACAUCCGGAAACGGAUGCUAAAACCGCAUAGGUCUUCGAGCCGCAUGGCUUGAAGUGGAAAAGAGGCGCAAGCUUCUGCUGAUGGAUCGGACCCGCGG